UUUUAGGCACUCAUAACUAGUAGAGUCAACCAGGGUUAUUUACUAAAGGGAGAAUUGUCUGGAAUGUAGAGUAAAUUUGAAACGUAAGAUCAAAAUAGAUCAACUGGGAAAAAAAGUCUGCUCUAGUUCAGGUGCUGUGGCCUUAAAUGUGAAAUUCACUUUGCAUUCCCAACAAUUGUCAGUUUAGUGAAAAACACUGAGGUGAUUAUUGACUAAUGUGGGAAUAGUUGGAAAUUCAAAUUGCAGGAAGCAUGAAGUGCCACUGGGCAGGGGUGCCACUGAUUGGCAGGGAGUGCCACGUGUGUGGGCAGGAAGGGAACACUAGGUCCCCUCCCAUUUAGUCUUAUAGCCCCCACUCACGGGAUACAGGGGUACACUAUGUCCACCCAUAUUAAUUAUUUAAA
This is a non-coding RNA of Pelobates cultripes (western spadefoot toad), 404 nucleotides long. The record is from the annotation of a GenBank genome assembly. NCBI's taxonomy places the organism in Eukaryota, Metazoa, Chordata, Amphibia, Anura, Pelobatidae.